GUAAAUAUGCCUCUAACCUACCSCUGACGGGGGUCUGACAUCCCAGUGAGCAAGUCUCCAAGGACCUGGGAGCCUCUUGCACCUGCAAACAAGGGAAGGAGCUGUCAGGGAGCAGCGAAAGGGGGGCUGCUCCACGAGGGAGGACGAGCCGGGAGCCGAGAGCGACCACAGCCUCAAUGGGGCAGUGAGUGACCUCCCUGGGCAGGGCACAGUCCCACGGCACCCGAGCAGGACAGCCAUCGUGGUAAUAACAGCUUUCAUUGCCUGUCCAGGGGUCAUCAGAUGAGGCAAGGUAACGAGUCAGGUUGUUUCCAUCCAGAACGUCCGGUCAGGGCAGCAGGAGACAGCACUACCAGCAGCAUAGGUGCAGGAGACAGGACUGGACACAGGUACACCUACAGCGUAGCUCAGGCGAGGAUGGGGGGCCGGGCCCGGGUGCAGAUGGGGGUCCUGGACCAUGGAGCAGAGGGUGUCUGGAUGGAGGUCCCCAGUGAGGCUGGCCAGGGCAAUUAGGGUCUGUUGGUGCCCUGACAGGAACCUCCACUGGCCACUUUUGGGGAGAGAGGGGUCUGGCUUCAUCCUGCCUGUUACACACAGUCACAGUCUCAUUCGGGUUGGACAGGACUGUAGGAGGUCUCUAGUCCAAACUGCUYGGAGCAGGGUCGGCUGUGGGGUCAGGCCAGGUUGCUCAGGGCUUUAUCCAGUCGAGUCUUGGAAACCGCUGAGGACCGAGACUGCAUGAUGUCUCUGGCACCCUGUUCUGAUGCUUCACUGCCCUUGUGAUGAAAAAAUUUUCCUUGUAUCCAGCCAGAGCCUUUCUUGUUUCAGUUUUUGUCUGUUCUCUCAUUCUCCUGCCAUACGCCUCAGCAUACGCCUCAGCAAAGAGCCUGGUAUUGUCGUCUUGGUAACCUCUUUGUGGGUGCUGCUAUGAGAUCCCCCCAAGACCUUCAUUCUCCAGGUUGAACAAGAUGGUUUUAUUUGCAGCCUCUGAUCAUGGGGCAUGUGCUCCAGUCCCUGACCAUCUUGGUGGCUCUCUGCUGGACUUGCUGCAGUUUAUCAACGUUUCAAUGAUGCCCUUUGGCCAAGGAAGGAGAAGGGAGAGCGAGCAGAGAGGAGUGUCUGGACCAAGCAGUGUUUCUGGAUGCAGAUGGCAAUACAGAUCAUCAUGGCCAUCUUCCUCACAUCCCACUUGUUCUUCUCCUGACACAUCCUGUGCUACUCCCCAGUUUGGGAAUACUAGUACUCAGGUUCCGGCUCCACUUUGCGCUGCUUCUGAAAAAACAGCAGGAUGUGUUAUUGCAGACYUCGCAGACACCUGAAGCCUGGUGGGAAGUAGCCUGAGAUGGAAAACAGCAUAGCUUUGACCSCCACAUCAUUACAUUUUAGUGUAAUACCUCUUCCUUCUAGAAAGCAUUCUCCAGCUGAGAUAUUUCUCAUCCUUGAUUUGGGGGUUCUCUGAGGCAAGAAGGGAAUCCUUUGGUUUACAGCAUGGAGCUGGUUGAGAGCCCUGUAGGUGAGACUGAAUCACAGCUGAAAGGUGUCUCCAGGGGUCGCUUGGAUUUUGUCCUGCCGUUCUGCCACUUUGCCACUGCCCAGUCCCUCUGCCACCUUGUUCUACCAGAGCGGCGCAGUCCAGUGCAAGACUGAAAGAUGCUCCGGUGCUGGCCUGUGCUGCCCUGCUGUAGAAAGCCUGUGUGUGUCUGAAGCAAACACCAAGCAGGAGUAAAAUGACGGGGGGAGUGUUCUUCUAGCCCCAGAUUCACCCUGUCUGAUGCUCUGCUCAAGCCAGAGUUGUUGMUGUAAAAGCCUGAGUCGCAACUAGGACUCCUGCCUGCUGCUGCCAUUAUUCUUUUUCUAUCUGCUCAGUGCUGUGAUAAAGCACACUUCCUCUACAUUUGACUCAACUCUGAUUCCUUGGCUUGCAUUUCUUAACAAAUCAGCAGACAGUCUGGGAAAUGCUUUGCUUCCAAAGUUAGCUGCACUCAGCCCWAGGAGCUACAAACAAACAAUAAAAGAUGGUUUUAUUUGCA
Dromaius novaehollandiae (emu) is the source of this 2030-nucleotide long non-coding RNA. The record is from Ensembl. Lineage: Eukaryota; Metazoa; Chordata; Aves; Casuariiformes; Dromaiidae.